Neofelis nebulosa (Clouded leopard) is the source of this 1033-nucleotide long non-coding RNA. RefSeq lists it as uncharacterized. The transcript is spliced from 2 exons. Lineage: Eukaryota; Metazoa; Chordata; Mammalia; Carnivora; Felidae. The record is from RefSeq and is a predicted model, not a curated record.
AGCUGCUUCAUUUAGAAAAUGAUCCCCAGUCACAAACAGUGAGUUACCAACACCUGUUGGCAGUACCAGAAGAAAACUAAGGAUCUGUUCUUCAGUCCAUCUUGGAUGCAAUGGGGAUAGGAGUUUCAACUUUAUUUGUGGAAGGACAGCAUUUAAAAUGUUCAAUAUCAAUUCCUAUGCUGACAUCCCCCCUCCUGCAACCCCAGGCUUUGGUAAUUAUUAGUGAAGCCAUCUGCUCAGCCUAAUGAAAUGUGCAAUCUCCUGCACAUAUAAUUAGUGAAGUCACUUUAAUUAAUUAAACAAAUUAAUUAAUUGCAAGGAUACUGCAACCAUUUCCUAGGAACUGCAUCCAACUCAUUUAUUCUCCAUGUGUCUACCGGGCUCCUACUGAGGGCAGAGUCCCACACUCGUGCUCAGAGGAGAUAAAGAUGCACCAAGUAGAAACGGAAGCCAAAUGACAUGGUUGCUGAUGACUAUCCCUUCCGCUUCAGGCCCAGUUUCUCCAUCUGUUACCCACAUGAUGUGGUUUCGAGUUGGGAGUGCUGUCCCAAUCCUCUAACACCCCGUUGAAGCCCCUCCUGUGGUACAGUACCCAGGUAUGCCCCUCAUGCCCGGUGUCCACACCCCUGCUGGAUUCUCCACUCUGUUACAGCAUCUGGCAGCUUCACCACGCACUGACUCCCACCAGCUCCCUGACGCCGUUUCCGAACGUGCUACUGUUGAGCCACAAUUCCAUCCCAUCUGCCACAGGACUUCCCAGGAGCUUACACUCCAUCUGGAGUCCUGGGAUAUGAGAAACCCCACCAGACGGUAAGAAAAUAUCCUAUAAAUGACCAACUGCCACUUUCCCUGUUAGAAACAACUUGCUCUGAAGGUUUGCUUAAAAAGUGAUUUCUUAAGAAUCCUGACAGCAUGUAGCCACAGAAACCAUAUUUAAAACGAUGGAUGGACUCUCAGACUCUCAGGUUCACAAAAGCCUUCUGAACUCACAAUGUACCUGCAGCAUAAAACCAAUAGAGCUAUUUUACCUACA